CGUCUAUAUACGUAUAGCAUAUCAAUAGCGGAGGAAAAGAAACUAAUCAAGGAUUCCCUUAGUAACGGCGAGUGAAGCGGGAAGAGCUCAAAUUUGAAAUCUUCAAGGUUUUACCUUGACGAAUUGUAGUUUAAAGAAGUGUUUUCUGUUAGAGUUGAGUAGAAAAGUUCUUUGGAAUAGGGACAUCAUAGAGGGUGAGAAUCCCGUAUUUGGUUAUUCUUUCUAGCUUUGUGAUACACUUUCAAAGAGUCGGAUUGUUUGGGAAUGCAGUCCAAAAUGGGUGGUAAAUUUCAUCUAAAGCUAAAUAUUGGCGAGAGACCGAUAGCGAACAAGUACCGUGAGGGAAAGAUGAAAAGAACUUUGAAAAGAGAGUUAAACAGUACGUGAAAUUGUCAAAAGGGAAGCGUUUGACACCAGUGUUGUUUUUCCGAAAAUCAAUUAAGAGUGGCUUGAUUUUGUGUUGUAUUGACCUUAUCAGCUUUCUUCACUCUUUUUCGAGUCUUUCUUAAUGCACUUUUCGGUUAACAAGUCAACAUCAAUUUCUUUUGUUGUAAAAGGGUAUUUGGAAGGUGGCUUUCUUUUCGGAGAAAGUGUUUAUAGCCUUAUACCUCUACAAUCGGAGAGAUUGAGGUCUGCAGCGUAGAUCCUUCGGGGCUAGAUACACUUGUGCUAAGUUAUAGCUUUUCAUAGACAACUUGUUGACUAUGUUUAGUCAUGUAGCUUACCCGCUUCGUGCUAUUUUACCUACGCUUAGGAUGUUGAGUCAUCACACAUCUCU
This 778-nucleotide ribosomal RNA is filed under the name uncultured Neocallimastigales. RNAcentral's name for it is "partial large subunit ribosomal RNA". It matches the Rfam family "Eukaryotic large subunit ribosomal RNA", at positions 26 to 618 of the family's 3401-position model. Lineage: Eukaryota; Fungi; Neocallimastigomycota; Neocallimastigomycetes; Neocallimastigales. The record is from RNAcentral.